GACGAACGCUGGCGGCGUGCUUAACACAUGCAAGUCGAACGGUAAGGCCCUUCGGGGUACACGAGUGGCGAACGGGUGAGUAACACGUGGGUGAUCUGCCCUGCACUUCGGGAUAAGCCUGGGAAACUGGGUCUAAUACCGGAUAGGACCACUGCCUGCAUGGGUGGUGGUGGAAAGCUUUUGCGGUGUGGGAUGGGCCCGCGGCCUUUCAGCUUGUUGGUGGGGUGAUGGCCUACCAAGGCAACGACGGGUAGCCGGCCUGAGAGGGUGACCGACCACACUAUGACUGAGAUACUGCCCAUACUGCUACGUGGGGCAGCAGUGGUGAAUAUUGCACAAUGGACGCAUGCCUGAUGCAACGACGCCGCGUGAGGGAUGACGGCCUUCGGGUUGUAAACCUCUUGCAGCACCGACGAAGCGCAAGUGACGGUAGGUGCAGAAGAAGGACCGGCCAACUACGUGCCAGCAGCCGCAGUAA
This 478-nucleotide ribosomal RNA is filed under the name uncultured bacterium. RNAcentral describes it as "partial 16S ribosomal RNA". It matches the Rfam family "Bacterial small subunit ribosomal RNA", at positions 28 to 523 of the family's 1533-position model. The record is from RNAcentral.